RNAcentral lists this long non-coding RNA (1186 nucleotides) under Anser cygnoides (Swan goose). RNAcentral's name for it is "lncRNA (ENSACDG00005006810.1)". The record is from RNAcentral. Lineage: Eukaryota; Metazoa; Chordata; Aves; Anseriformes; Anatidae.
UUCAUAAAGACAUGAUUAAUUUAUUGCUUUGUUUUGGCCAAGAAAAGUAGGGUCACGUAUUGGCUAGCUAAAGGGGACUUCACAUGUGCAGUACCAUCACCUGUCUGCUCUAGUGGGUUGUGAGACCAUGAGUUAUCUAGACUAUUGAUCUAGUGACAGCUUUUCCUUACCUGUCAGUAUAGUCCCACAGAUGGAAAGAAUGAGUCACUUGAAAACUAACUUGAAAACUACCUUCACUAAGAAAAUGUAUUUCAAGGCACAUAAUUCAAGGCACACUGCUAUGAGAUAUAACCAAGGCCUCAAAGGUUUAAAUAAAGCAUUUUUAAGCAUUUUCCUUGCUUAAGUCUUACAGAAAACCGUACCUUUAAGUAUUCACCAAACAUACCUAGUUCCUCAACAUAUGGUUUAUAAGGAUGUAAUCCAUUGGCAUGUAGCCAACAGCUGUGUGCUGUGGUUUCAUUCACUGGCAUUAAUUUCCAGUGCUAUAGCCAAUCCUGGUGUAUACCCAUUUGACACUGAGGAGCUGGACCUUCUUUUCUCCUCUGCAGUCCCAUGAUCAAUCAUAUUUUUUCCCUGUUCAUAAACUUGCCUGCCUAUAAAGAGUCAUUAUUACCUUUCCAGUCAAGGUAUGUGAGGCUUGACUUCAGCGAUGCCCAUAAAGCUCCAUGAGGCACAGAAAUGACUGUUACUGUGAUAGUUCAAUGUGGGAUCAGUUUGUUGUUGGUGUUUUUGUUUUUUUUUCUUAAUCUCUCUUGGAUUGGUUUAACUGAUAGUUUUUUGUUGUUGUUUGUUUGUUUGUUUUUCCUAAUAACUACUGGGUUGAGAAUUUCUUUUUCCUAAUAACUACUGGGUUGAGAAUUUCUUUUCUUCACUUAAGUAACACCUGAUAAGUACUGCUCACGUUAGUGGAUUUUUCUGUUCUCUCCCUGCCAGGGUCCCCGUGGUGUACCUGGUAUCCCUGGACCACAGGGGCCUCCUGGCCAGGAUGGUCUACCUGGAAAUCCAGGGGAAAGAGGACCUCCUGGAAAACCAGUACGUAACUUCAUUUCUAUGUUACAUCCCCAAAAGAUGUCCCACUGUUGUUCUGUUCUCUGUUUUAUCUCAGUUUGCACCUGUAUAUGUCACCUCAAGUCCAAUUCAGUGCUUUUUCCUUGAUGCUCUUAGGAAAAAUACUAAAAACCAUUAA